AUUGAACGCUGGCGGCAUGCCUUACACGUGCAAGUCGAACGGCAGCACGGGUGCUUGCACCUGGUGGCGAGUGGCGAACGGGUGAGUAAUACAUCGGAACGUACCUUAUCGUGGGGGAUAACGCAGCGAAAGCUGUGCUAAUACCGCAUACGCCCUGAGGGGGAAAGCGGGGGAUCGAAAGACCUCGCGCGAUUAGGGCGGCCGAUGCCUGAUUAGCUUGUUGGUGGGGUAAAAGCCCACCAAGGCGACGAUCAGUAGCUGGUCUGAGAGGACGAUCAGCCACACUGGGACUGAGACACGGCCCAGACUCCUACGGGAGGCAGCAGUGGGGAAUUUUGGACAAUGGGGGCAACCCUGAUCCAGCAAUGCCGCGUGAGUGAAGAAGGCCUUCGGGCUGUAAAGCUCUGUUGUCAGGGAAGAAACACCGGCUCUAACACAGUCCGGGAAUGACGGUACCUGAAGAAUAAGUACCGGCUAACUACGUGCCAGCCGCCGCAGUAA
Molecule: ribosomal RNA, 501 nt
Filed under: uncultured bacterium
Lineage: Bacteria
Description: partial 16S ribosomal RNA
Rfam family: Bacterial small subunit ribosomal RNA
Source: RNAcentral